Molecule: ribosomal RNA, 460 nt
Filed under: uncultured bacterium
Lineage: Bacteria
Description: partial 16S ribosomal RNA
Rfam family: Bacterial small subunit ribosomal RNA
Source: RNAcentral
CUACGGGCGGCUGCAGUCGAGAAUCUUUGGCAAUGGACGAAAGUCUGACCAAGCGACGCCGCGUGCGGGAUGAAGGCCUUCGGGUUGUAAACCGCUGUCAGUUGGGAGGAAAUCACAUGGGGUCCUCUCCAUGUGUUGACCUAUCUUCAGAGGAAGGACGGGCUAAGUUCGUGCCAGCAGCCGCGGUAAGACGAACCGUCAAACGUUAUUCGGAAUCACUGGGCUUAAAGGGUGCGUAGGCGGCCCUGUAAGUUGGGUGUGAAAUCCCUCGGCUCAACCGAGGAAUUGCGCCCAAUACUGCAGGGCUAGAGGGAGACAGAGGUGAGCGGAACUUGUGGUGGAGCGGUGAAAUGCGUUGAUAUCACAAGGAACACCUGUGGCGAAAGCGGCUCACUGGGUCUCUUCUGACGCUGAGGCACGAAAGCUGGGGGAGCGAACGGGAUUAGAUACCCGGGUAGUC